This 253-nucleotide ribosomal RNA is filed under the name uncultured bacterium. RNAcentral describes it as "partial 16S ribosomal RNA". It matches the Rfam family "Bacterial small subunit ribosomal RNA", at positions 524 to 776 of the family's 1533-position model. The record is from RNAcentral.
UACAGAGGGGGCAAGCGUUGUUCGGAAUUACUGGGCGUAAAGGGCGCGUAGGCGGCCUGCUAAGUCGGACGUGAAAUCCCCGGGCUCAACCCGGGAACUGCGUCCGAGACUGGUUGGCUUGAAUCCGGGAGAGGGAUGCGGAAUUCCAGGUGCAGCGGUGAAAUGCGUAGAUAUCUGGAGGAACACCGGUGGCGAAGGCGGCAUCCUGGACCGGCAUUGACGCUGAGGCGCGAAAGCCAGGGGAGCAAACGGG